CUUAACUUUAAUCAAUGAAUUAGGUAACGAAGCAAAAUCGAGUUUAAAUUUGAAGGGUCUUUCUUUAUUUUCAGACCAAGAACAGAGAAGAGCGAAUUCAGAAAAAAGAACGAAAUUUGUCAAAUUUGUAUUCAAUGCACUUGAUCCUAAUGAGACAAAAUCGGGAAAAAAAUCGAUUGGAAUAAAAGAAAUCAGUAAAAAAGUACCUCGCUGGUCCCAUAAAUUAAUCACCGAAUUGGACCAACAAAUGGGUGAAUUUAAAGAUCGCGCAUCAAUGGAUCAUCAACUUCGUUCAAGAAAAGCCAAACGUGUAGUUAUUUUUACUGACAACAAGGCGACUAAGGAUGCUGAGGAGGAAGUGGCUUUAAUAAGCUAUUCGCAACAAUCAGAUUUUCGGCGAGGUAUAAUUACAGGCUCUAUGCGGGCUCAAAGGCGCAAAACAUUUAUUUCGAAACUAUUUCAAGCAAAUGUACAUUCCCCCCUUUUUGUCGACAGAAUAACCCCCCUACGUCUUUUUUCUUUUGAUAUCUCUGAACUAAUUAAACCAAUUUUGAAAAAUUGGACAGAUAAAGAGGGAGAAUUCAAGAUUCUAGAGUCUAGAGAAGAACAAACAAAAAGAGAAGAGAAAAAAGAAAAGGACAAAAAAGAGGAUAACAAAAGAAAGGAACAGGCACGGAUAGCGAUCGAAGAAGCCUGGGAUACCAUUCCUUUGGCACAAAUAAUAAGAGGUUACAUGUUAAUAACUCAAUCAAUUCUUCGAAAAUAUAUUCUAUUACCUGCAUUGAUAAUAGCCAAAAAUAUCGGGCGUAUGUUAUUCUUGCAACUUCCUGAAUGGUCUGAAGAUUUACAGGAAUGGAAUAGAGAAAUGCAGAUUAAAUGUACUUAUAAUGGUGUUCAAUUAUCAGAAACAGAAUUUCCAAAAAAUUGGUUAAGAGACGGGAUUCAGAUCAAAAUUUUAUUUCCUUUUUGUCUGAAACCUUGGCAUAUAUCUAAACUGUACCCCUCCCGCAGAGAGCUAAUGAAAAAGCAAAAACAAAAAGAUGAUUUUUGUUUUUUAACAGUUUGGGGAAUGGAAGCUGAACUUCCCUUUGGUUCUCCCCGAAAGCGACCUUCAUUUUUUGAGCCCAUUUUUAAGGAACUCGAAAAAAAAAUUGGAAAAUUCAAAAAGAAAUAUUUUCUAACUCUAAAAAUUUUAAAAGGAAAAACAAAAUUAUUUAGAAAAGUUUCAAAAGAAACCACAAAAUUGU
RNAcentral lists this unclassified non-coding RNA (1247 nucleotides) under Hevea brasiliensis (rubber tree). Lineage: Eukaryota; Viridiplantae; Streptophyta; Magnoliopsida; Malpighiales; Euphorbiaceae. The record is from RNAcentral.